This 227-nucleotide ribosomal RNA is filed under the name uncultured soil bacterium. Its description in RNAcentral is "partial 16S ribosomal RNA". It matches the Rfam family "Bacterial small subunit ribosomal RNA", at positions 30 to 267 of the family's 1533-position model. The record is from RNAcentral.
AUUGAACGCUGGCGGCAUGCCUAACACAUGCAAGUCGAACGGGAGUAGCAAUACUCUAGUGGCGGACGGGUGAGGAAUACGUAGGAAUUUGCCCUUAAGUGGGGGAUAACCCGGGGAAACCCGGAUUAAUACCGCAUGACCUCGAAAGAGCAAAGUGGGGGAUCGCAAGACCUCACGCUUUUGGAGAAGCCUACGUCGGAUUAGCUAGUUGGUGAGGUAAUGGCUCA